GAAUCUUAUUUUCAUUCUAAUUUAAAAAAAAAAUAGAAACUUUAUACCACAAUCUUCCAAAAUCAAAUCUCUAAUUCUGAUUUAGAUUCUGAUCACAAACCAAUCACCAUUGCGGAUGUGCCCAUUCUGAAUCCUAUUCCGAUUCCGAUUCCGACACAUGUCAUGAACCAAACGGCCGUCAAUCUACAAUUAAUAAUUUUACGGAUUACAUUAGCAUCCUAACCGCACUUUUGUAAUUAAUAAAUAGGCUGCUUUUGUGAGAA
This 263-nucleotide long non-coding RNA is filed under the name Elaeis guineensis (African oil palm). RNAcentral describes it as "long non-coding RNA (EGUI_LNC020770)". The record is from RNAcentral. Lineage: Eukaryota; Viridiplantae; Streptophyta; Magnoliopsida; Arecales; Arecaceae.